GAUAAGGUUAAGUGAAUAAGGGCGCACGGUGGAUGCCUUGGCACUAGGAGCCGAUGAAGGACGGGACUAACACCGAUAUGCUUUGGGGAGCUGUACGUAAGCUAUGAUCCAGAGAUUUCCGAAUGGGGGAACCCAACAUCUUUAAUAGGAUGUUACGAUUGUGUGAAUACAUAGCACAUUCGAGGUAGACGCAGAGAACUGAAACAUCUAAGUACCUGCAGGAAGAGAAAGAAAAUUCGAUUCCCUGAGUAGCGGCGAGCGAAACGGGAAAAGCCCAAACCAGCAAGCUUGCUUGUUGGGGUUGUAGGACUCCAAUAUGGUAGUUCUUUCAGAUAGUCGAAUGACUUGGAAAAGUCAGUCAAAGAGGGUAAAAACCCCGUAGACGAAAUGUGGAAGACACCUAGGAGGAUCCUGAGUACGGCGGAACACGAGAAAUUACGUCGGAAUCCGGGAGGACCAUCUCCCAAGGCUAAAUACACCCUAGUGAC
This 488-nucleotide ribosomal RNA is filed under the name Enterococcus faecium. RNAcentral's name for it is "bacterial LSU rRNA". It matches the Rfam family "Bacterial large subunit ribosomal RNA", at positions 1 to 484 of the family's 2925-position model. Lineage: Bacteria; Bacillati; Bacillota; Bacilli; Lactobacillales; Enterococcaceae. The record is from RNAcentral.